Molecule: small nuclear RNA, 169 nt
Filed under: Euroglyphus maynei
Lineage: Eukaryota; Metazoa; Arthropoda; Arachnida; Sarcoptiformes; Pyroglyphidae
Description: U11 spliceosomal RNA
Rfam family: U11 spliceosomal RNA
Source: Rfam by way of RNAcentral
AAGGGAGUUGACCUUUUACCCGUGUGAUUCGGGAAAACAUGAUGGUCGAUGUAUUUUGGGCAAAUCAUUCCCGAUUUGCAUUACACAAAAUACAUUUAGAAUCGUCAUCAAGAGAUUCUGAACUCAGAAUUUUUGUAACAAGUGGAGUUGGGCUGAUUUCGAAUUCAUC